AACACAUGCAAGUCGAACGGGCGUAGCAAUACGUCAGUGGCUGACGGGUGAGUAACACGUGGGAACGUACCUCUUGGUUCGGAACAACACAGGGAAACUUGUGCUAAUACCGGAUAAGCCCUUACGGGGAAAGAUUUAUCGCCGAGAGAUCGGCCCGCGUCUGAUUAGCUAGUUGGUAGGGUAAUGGCCUACCAAGGCGACGAUCAGUAGCUGGUCUGAGAGGAUGAUCAGCCACAUUGGGACUGAGACACGGCCCAAACUCCUACGGGAGGCAGCAGUGGGGAAUAUUGGACAAUGGGGGCAACCCUGAUCCAGCCAUGCCGCGUGAGUGAUGAAGGCCCUAGGGUUGUAAAGCUCUUUUGUGCGGGAAGAUAAUGACGGUACCGCAAGAAUAAGCCCCGGCUAACUUCGUGCCAGCCGCCGCGGUAAUUC
This 432-nucleotide ribosomal RNA is filed under the name uncultured soil bacterium. RNAcentral's name for it is "bacterial SSU rRNA". It matches the Rfam family "Bacterial small subunit ribosomal RNA", at positions 50 to 526 of the family's 1533-position model. The record is from RNAcentral.